Alosa sapidissima (American shad) is the source of this 244-nucleotide long non-coding RNA. RefSeq lists it as uncharacterized. Lineage: Eukaryota; Metazoa; Chordata; Actinopteri; Clupeiformes; Clupeidae. The transcript has 3 exons. The record is from RefSeq and is a predicted model, not a curated record.
GCAUCUAGGUUCUCUUUAGUUUUUAGAAAGUUGGCCUAUAACAAGACAGACGAGAAGCUGAAUUGAAUUCGCAGAUAGCUGAUAUGGGUAGAAUCAUUUAAAUAAUGUAGACAUUCUGUUCAUCCUGGAAGAAGAUAAACAUCAACAAAUAAUAAAAGACUAGAAGAGAAUUGGUGAUUGCGAUGAUCGCCGUUGGACAAGCAGCUGUCGCACAAGGCUACUCCACACUCCUGGCAGAAGACAG